CGGACGGGUGAGUAACGCGUGAGAAUCUACCUUCAGGACGGAGACAACAGUUGGAAACGACUGCUAACCCCCGAUGUACUGAAAAGGCAAAUAUUUAUAGCCUGAAGAAGAGCUCGCGUCCGAUUAGCUAGUUGGAGAGGUAAAAGCUCACCAAGGCGACGAUCGGUAGCUGGUCUGAGAGGACGAUCAGCCACACUGGGACUGAGACACGGCCCAGACUCCUACAGGAGGCAGCAGUGGGGAAUUUUCCGCAAUGGGCGAAAGCCUGACGGAGCAAGACCGCGUGGGGGAAGAAGGCUCUUGGGUUGUAAACUCCUUUUCUCUGGGAAGAACAAAAUGACGGUACCAGAGGAAUCAGCAUCGGCUAACUCCGUGCCAGCAGCCGCGGUAAGACGGAGGAUGCAAGCGUUAUCCGGAAUGAUUGGGCGUAAAGCGUCCGCAGGUGGCAGUUCAAGUCUGCUGUCAAAGACCGGGGCUCAACCUCGGAAAGGCAGUGGAAACUGAACAGCUAGAGUAUGGUAGGGGCAAAGGGAAUUCCUGGUGUAGCGGUGAAAUGCGUAGAGAUCAGGAAGAACAUCGGUGGCGAAGGCGCUUUGCUGGACCAUAACUGACACUCAGGGACGAAAGCUAGGGGAGCGAAAGGGAUUAGAUACCCCUGUAGUC
This 663-nucleotide ribosomal RNA is filed under the name uncultured cyanobacterium. RNAcentral's name for it is "bacterial SSU rRNA". It matches the Rfam family "Bacterial small subunit ribosomal RNA", at positions 99 to 795 of the family's 1533-position model. The record is from RNAcentral. Lineage: Bacteria; Bacillati; Cyanobacteriota.